This 32-nucleotide non-coding RNA is filed under the name Mus musculus (house mouse). Lineage: Eukaryota; Metazoa; Chordata; Mammalia; Rodentia; Muridae. The record is from RNAcentral.
AGCCUAUGAUGGAUUGGUUAUCCCUGUCUGAA